Molecule: ribosomal RNA, 409 nt
Filed under: uncultured Glomeromycotina
Lineage: Eukaryota; Fungi; Glomeromycota
Description: SSU rRNA
Rfam family: Eukaryotic small subunit ribosomal RNA
Source: RNAcentral
AGCAGCCGCGGUAAUUCCAGCUCCAAUAGCGUAUAUUAAAGUUGUUGCAGUUAAAAAGCUCGUAGUUGAAUUUCGGGAUCAAGGAAUCGGUCAUGCCUUGGUAUGUACUGGUUUUAUUGGUUCUCACCUUCUAAAGAACCAUGAUGUCAUUCAUUUGAUGUUAUGGGGAAUUAGGACUGUUACCUUGAAAAAAUUAGAGUGUUUAAAGCAGGCUCACGCUUGAAUACAUUAGCAUGGAAUAAUGAAAUAGGACGUUCGAUCCUAUUUUGUUGGUUUCUAGGAUUGACGUAAUGAUUAAUAGGGAUAGUUGGGGGCAUUAGUAUUCAAUUGUCAGAGGUGAAAUUCUUGGAUUUAUUGAAGACUAACUACUGCGAAAGCAUUUGCCAAGGAUGUUUUCAUUAAUCAAAGA